AAGAAUGAUUCAGGGAGUUCCUGUGGUGUCAAGAAAAAUAUGGGAGAACAAACAGGAAACAUAGAUAUUUAUGGGAGACAGAGAGUAAACUAGGAAGAAGAUGAUGAGGGAGCUAUGGAAAGUGUGCAGACGGUGAAUCCUUUCCAGAUAAAUUCAUCAUUCAAAGAGGAAAUGAAAUUAACUACCUACUCUCUUCAGAAGAGCUACUGAAAUCAGUUGUUGAAAAUGGGGAUGAAUGAAAAAAAAAAGAUGAUGAAGCCAAUCUUUCUAAGGGAACUGCAUUAAUGCAAUUAAUAUUUUAGAGAGAUUGUUUACGUAACUGAAUAGGCCAAGUUGGUGUGGCCUUUGUAUUCCUGGGAUCACACCACUCCCUUCCAAGUAAGAGGACUUCUGCUUAUCCCAGUACUAGCAAGUUACCUGCUUCUGAAGAUCACCUGAUUCACAGCCAUAUAUGACAAAGGAUGGCAGGAGACAUAUAUUCAGAUGGAUGAAGCUAACUGCUCCUGCCAGUGAUCUACCCCUCCUACUUAAAUUAUGCUGUGCUUACUUAACAGAGGGUGUAGUAGAAGUGACAAAGAAUUGGAAACUGAGGAGAUGGCAAUCAAUUGGGGAACUGCUGAACUAAUUUUGGUAUGUGUUGGUAAUGGAAUACUAUUGUGCUAUAAGAAAUGUUA
Gracilinanus agilis (Agile Gracile Mouse Opossum) is the source of this 674-nucleotide long non-coding RNA. RefSeq lists it as uncharacterized. The transcript is spliced from 5 exons. NCBI's taxonomy places the organism in Eukaryota, Metazoa, Chordata, Mammalia, Didelphimorphia, Didelphidae. The record is from RefSeq and is a predicted model, not a curated record.